RNAcentral lists this ribosomal RNA (326 nucleotides) under uncultured eukaryote. RNAcentral's name for it is "partial 18S ribosomal RNA". It matches the Rfam family "Eukaryotic small subunit ribosomal RNA", at positions 1470 to 1796 of the family's 1831-position model. The record is from RNAcentral.
CCCUUAGAUGUUCUGGGCUGCACGCGCGCUACACUGAAGCGUUCAACGAGUAUUCACCUUGCCCGGGAGGGUUGGGUAAUCUUUUGAAAACGCUUCGUGAUGGGGAUAGAUUAUUGCAAUUAUUAAUCUUCAACGAGGAAUUCCUAGUAAGCGCGAGUCAUCAGCUCGUGCUGAUUACGUCCCUGCCCUUUGUACACACCGCCCGUCGCUCCUACCGAUUGGAUGGUCCGGUGAACUGGUCGGACUGCUGUUUGAAAUUGCGGGUGCAGUUGAUUCACGGGAAGUCUAGUAAACCUUAUCAUCUAGAGGAAGGAGAAGUCGUAACA